This 468-nucleotide ribosomal RNA is filed under the name uncultured bacterium. Its description in RNAcentral is "partial 16S ribosomal RNA". It matches the Rfam family "Bacterial small subunit ribosomal RNA", at positions 28 to 507 of the family's 1533-position model. The record is from RNAcentral.
GACGAACGCUGGCGGCGUGCUUAACACAUGCAAGUCGAACGGAAAGGCCCUGCUUUUGUGGGGUGCUCGAGUGGCGAACGGGUGAGUAACACGUGAGUAACCUGCCCUUGACUUUGGGAUAACUUCAGGAAACUGGGGCUAAUACCGGAUAGGAGCUCCUGCUGCAUGGUGGGGGUUGGAAAGUUUCGGCGGUUGGGGAUGGACUCGCGGCUUAUCAGCUUGUUGGUGGGGUAGUGGCUUACCAAGGCUUUGACGGGUAGCCGGCCUGAGAGGGUGACCGGCCACAUUGGGACUGAGAUGCGGCCCAGACUCCUACGGGAGGCAGCAGUGGGGAAUAUUGCACAAUGGGCGGAGGCCUGAUGCAGCACCGCCGCGUGCGGGAUGACGGCCUUCGGGUUGUAAACCGCUUUCGCCUGUGACGAAGCGUGAGUGACGGUAAUGGGUAAAGAAGCUCCGGCUAACUACGUG